Molecule: transfer RNA, 85 nt
Filed under: Gammaproteobacteria bacterium
Lineage: Bacteria; Pseudomonadati; Pseudomonadota; Gammaproteobacteria
Also listed under: 1 other name
Description: tRNA-Leu
Rfam family: tRNA
About the family: Transfer RNA (tRNA) molecules are approximately 80 nucleotides in length. Their secondary structure includes four short double-helical elements and three loops (D, anti-codon, and T loops). Further hydrogen bonds mediate the characteristic L-shaped molecular structure. tRNAs have two regions of fundamental functional importance: the anti-codon, which is responsible for specific mRNA codon recognition, and the 3' end, to which the tRNAs corresponding amino acid is attached (by aminoacyl-tRNA synthetases). tRNAs cope with the degeneracy of the genetic code in two manners: having more than one tRNA (with a specific anti-codon) for a particular amino acid; and 'wobble' base-pairing, i.e. permitting non-standard base-pairing at the 3rd anti-codon position.
Source: RNAcentral
GCGCCCGUGGCGGAAUCGGUAGACGCCCGAGACUUAAAAUCUUGUGACUUCGGUCGUGCCGGUUCGACUCCGGCCGGGCGCACCA